Molecule: ribosomal RNA, 465 nt
Filed under: Vreelandella stevensii
Lineage: Bacteria; Pseudomonadati; Pseudomonadota; Gammaproteobacteria; Oceanospirillales; Halomonadaceae
Description: partial 16S ribosomal RNA
Rfam family: Bacterial small subunit ribosomal RNA
Source: RNAcentral
CCUACGGGGUGCAGCAGUGGGGAAUAUUGGACAAUGGGGGCAACCCUGAUCCAGCCAUGCCGCGUGUGUGAAGAAGGCCCUCGGGUUGUAAAGCACUUUCAGUGAGGAAGAACGCCUGGUGGUUAAUACCCAUCAGGAAAGACAUCACUCACAGAAGAAGCACCGGCUAACUCCGUGCCAGCAGCCGCGGUAAUACGGAGGGUGCGAGCGUUAAUCGGAAUUACUGGGCGUAAAGCGCGCGUAGGUGGCUUGAUAAGCCGGUUGUGAAAGCCCCGGGCUCAACCUGGGAACGGCAUCCGGAACUGUCAAGCUAGAGUGCAGGAGAGGAAGGUAGAAUUCCCGGUGUAGCGGUGAAAUGCGUAGAGAUCGGGAGGAAUACCAGUGGCGAAGGCGGCCUUCUGGACUGACACUGACACUGAGGUGCGAAAGCGUGGGUAGCAAACAGGAUUAGAUACCCGGGUAGUC